UGCCCGGGCCUUGAGCGUUGCCGGGAAGGAAGCAGCCAAACGAGAGGCGCAGGUCUGGGGCCGGCGGCAGCGUAGCCCGUAGCCUCUCUCUGUCCGGGCUCUCAGUCGGCGAACCCGCCUCCAGAAGCUGGGCGGGUGUCAACGCCGAGUCCAUGAUCACUGAGGCGGCUUCCUCGGCCUUGGUCGUCAGGGCCUCAGGCCUGACCGCGGCCUCUGGCUCCUACCAAGUCUUCUGCAAGGGACUCUCCCGCACUCUGCUUGCCUUCUUCGACUUGGCCUGGCAGCUGCGCAUGAACUUCCCAUACUUCUACGUCGCGGGCUCCGUGAUCCUCAACAUCCGCUUGCAGGUACACUUUUAGAGCCCUGAUUAAAUUGCAGGCGUGAUGGCGGACCCACCCGAGGCCUCACAGCUAACUGGAGCUACUCCCAGUUACCCCCGGGAAGCCCUGUGGUCUCGCGAUAUUCCCAGGCGGCUUUGCUCUCCUGAUGGUCGCGGAUUACUUGCUGGGAGGAGAAAGGAGUUAUGCGAUUCCGGAAGAAGAGAAUUUAAAUUAAGACCCACGGAAAUAUUUAAGACGAGCAACCUUAAAAUAGAAACAGGAGAAAUUUAAGGAUGUGACAAAGGGCAGAGGAUGCAUUAUAAAAACGGAAGGCUGCUAAACUUUUUAGAAAAAAUUUUUUUAUGUGUGCAAGAAACUCAUGGUCCAAACCAUAAGGAAACCAGUACACUUCAGGAAUUUUGGAUUGUUUUGUAAGUAAUACAGUGAAUGAGGAAGAAGAGGAAGAGAUUAAGGGUACGAUGUGGUAGCAUUACAUUUCUUCAUCCCACAAGAGUAAAUAUCAACAAUCAAACUUCAGGUGAAAAACAAACCUGUACCGGAGAGGCAUUCUCCAAAUACCAAGCAAAGUGAAAUGCUGCGGGAUAUCUAACAAUGGUGGUACUGCAAGAAAGUGAACUCUAUUUCAUUGUCCCUAUGAAUAAGGUUGUUUCAAGGACUAUGUCAAGACCUUGGAACCUGAGAGAAGGGCAUGCAGCCAUAGUACAAAGUUUGGCUGUUCAGUGAAUCAUAUUUAAUCAUAAUAAUGUGGUUUCCCGUGGAGGAACUGAACAACCUUCUGGUGUUACACCUGGAGGCAUGGCCGGUGGACUAAAUCUUCGACCCCAGUUGAGCCAUAAUUCUGAAAAUGGAGUGGAUGAGACAGGCCCUGAUGUGGUGGACAUAGUGGACUUCAAGGGCCAAUCCAAAAUCAUCAUCUUUGGACAUCCCUGGGUACAGCAUUGAACAAAGAGCAUGCCCUUUGGUCUGACAUUGUUGCACCUAGAACACAAGCUACAAGUCCCCAGACUCCACAGCAUCCUGUUGCUUAAGACAGCAUAGUAUUGUCCAGAGUGUUAGGAGCACAGCUCUGCUUCUGCUACUGAAGUUGAAGGGAAACAAGUAUCCUUAAAUUUCUGCAUUCCAUUGUUGUGUGUCUUAAUGAAUAGUAGUUUGAUUGUUUUGAUGCAAACAUAAAUAUGAAGCUCUUCUAAGAAAGAAAUGGAUUUCCUUGCUUUUUUUGUCCAAUGACAAAACAAGACAUAACAAAAAGUAGACUGGCUUUCAGUGGAUUGCGUUACUGUUUUUAAAUUCUGUACAAACAUGGACUCCUUUGUCCUUUGUGCCUGGACAGACACACACACACCCACCCUUAUUGUGCAUUGCCCUCUUUACUGACACCACCCACGUUAUUAAAGCUGACUUUGUAUUGUUCAUUGAAUGUAAAGAUAGCAGUGGAAUAUAGGGUAAAUCAUUAGGUUUGUUUGUGUAAGGUCAUUGCAUGAUUUGCAGAGCUAAGCUUAGACACAUCAAGUCCUACAAAGUAAUAAGAAUAAAAAAUAAGAGCUAACAUUUAUUGAACUCUGUGAGAAUUGCACUUAAUCCUCACAACAAUCCCAGUGAUGAGUAUUAUUAUUAUCCUUAUUUUAAACAUAAGGAAACUAAGGUAUAGAGAGGUUAAUUAAUUUGCUCAAGUUCACACAAUUAGUAAAUUAUACUGACUUCUCGUCAGGUGGAUGCAUAUGGAUGGGCUUCUAGGAAACCUCCUUAGAAUGUCUCUUUAAAAUUCCCUUCAUAAUAAAACAAAUAUGAGUAAUACCAUAUCAGCACUGAAAAUUAAGUAUAUCAGUCACGUAAUGGGAACUGAGAUUACUUUUUCUAGCCAAGCGAAUAAACUGGCAGUAGAUGGCAUGCCCAGGUAACCAAGCCCCAAAUAGGAGUCAGCCAGGGAAACUCCUGAAGGCACUGAUGGUGUUGGCCUGAUUCAAGUUUAGACAAGUUUGGGACACAUCAGAAAGAGCAUUGCUUACUUCCUGUCACUUCUGUGAUGCAGCAACACGAGGACCACAUUAGAAAGUAAGUUAUGGAAGUCCAGGGCUUCACUUCUGACAUGGGUUUCUGUAUGAAGCAGAAAAUUUAGCAAAAUUUAAAAGGUCCCACUCCUUGUAGUGGAGUUUGUGUAACUUAGACGACCUUUAAGCAGUAUGAAGCUAAAUUCCUAGCUCCUGCUCUCAGUGCUUUCCCCAAGAGAUGCUUGAUCUCCAAACAAGUCACUCAUGACCUUAUCCUCCCUUCUGUACAAGAAGGUAAUGUAUUUAUGCAAGGCCCCUUAUCAAUCUAGGACAAAAUACAAAUUAAUGCCUACUUGAUAUUUAGUCAACACAAAGGUAGUAUAACUCUCUUCUUUUGCAGAGAAAUUCACUAAUAAAAAUCCUUUCAUGAGGCCAGAUGAUUUCUUCUAUAGUUCAAGAGGAGCCCUGUGCACCGAGAAUUCAUUGUCUAAGGAAAUACAUCUAUGACAAGAAAGAAGAUUUAUGACAAUAAUUUCUUCAUGUUUUCCAUAAUAGUCACAAAAAUACUGCCACUGUAUUAUAGAACAAAAAGGAAUACAAUGAGAAAAGAAAUGGCUUUGCAGAGAGAUGAAAAACAUGGUAGCAUAAUUUAAAAUCAAUAUGAAGGCAAGAAAGAGUAAAUUUGAUGUUACAAAAUUAAGAUAACGAUAACUGAGCUAGAAGCAGAAAACAUAGUUUUCUUAGUUCAACAAUGAAAGAUGAAAAUUUAAGAUGAAGUAACAGAAAUGGAGACGAUAAUAGCAGUAAUAAUGUUAACAUAAAUUUUAUUUAACUCUCAGUAUUUUCCUAGUAUCUUACAAGUAUCAUAAUCACUUAAUAUUCACAUAACCCCAUUAGUUCAAGUACUCUAUUAUCACUACUUUAAAGAUGAAUGAACUGAGGCUUAGAGAUGUUAAGUAGCUUUCUGAAGUUGCUACAAUCAGAAACCACAGAGAAAUUUGAAACUAGCUCUUGGAUUUCAGAGCCCAUACUAAAUUAAAUCAUUAGAAGGUGCCACCUUUUAUAUCUGAAUCAUAGACUUUAUCUAUUUCACCUAUUUUAUUGAUUCCAAAACCUACAAGAACAAAACAAGAAAACAUGAGCUGACCACAAUUCUAAAAACAAAAUUUUUGUUUGAUUUUUUUAAUUUCUUUUAAGUCCUAAAUAAUACACUAGGAAAUUAAUUUCAACACCAAAAGUAUAAUACUAGUCAUGAUGGUUUCACAGAUGUAUACAUAGGUUAAAACUUUAAUUGUACAAUUUAAAUAUAUGCAAUUAAUUGUAUAUCAUUAUACCUCAAUA
Molecule: RNA transcript, 3670 nt
Organism: Choloepus didactylus (southern two-toed sloth)
Lineage: Eukaryota; Metazoa; Chordata; Mammalia; Pilosa; Megalonychidae
Gene name: basic salivary proline-rich protein 3-like
Exons: 2
Source: RefSeq, a predicted model, not a curated record